Molecule: long non-coding RNA, 550 nt
Filed under: Homo sapiens (human)
Lineage: Eukaryota; Metazoa; Chordata; Mammalia; Primates; Hominidae
Description: THAP9 antisense RNA 1
Source: RNAcentral
GUGCAUUUGACCGCUCCUCCCUCCGCGUUGGAGGCGGAAUAGUGGGUUUUGCUGCAACCGGUUUAUUUUCCUUCUGUUUUCACCCAUUCUGGCACAAUCUGGCGCCAUCGUCCUUCUUGUGAGGCCAAGCCUGAAAAUGCGAAGCAGAGAGGCAGGACCAAAAUUGAGGCGAAUCCAGGAACCUGCCAAUGGGUCUCCGGGUGCGGUCUCUGAAACUGGAGGAUAUCGGGAGGAAAGGCUCUCCGAUGCGGAGAUAAUGGGGAAGCUCUUGGCAUGGUUGGCUGUAGGUAUGUGAUACCGGAGGAGCAGGAGUCAAAUAGGAUACGCCGACUUUUAAUUCAAGGAACCCUUUUCUGAAACACUUUGCCACAAUGAAGGAAAUAAGAUUACAGCCGAAGAUACAUAUUAAGGAAUUGUACUCUCAGAGAUGUUGAGAAAAGAUACAUGGGUCUUGGAAGAUAAUUACUCAAAAUAUGCAGGGAAGGUAGUAUAUCUUUCUAUUUUAAAUGUAUUAAGUAUUCCUGGAACUAUAGCAGUGAGUUGGAAAUGG